Long non-coding RNA from Vespula vulgaris, 2936 nucleotides. RefSeq lists it as uncharacterized. The transcript has 2 exons. Lineage: Eukaryota; Metazoa; Arthropoda; Insecta; Hymenoptera; Vespidae. The record is from RefSeq and is a predicted model, not a curated record.
UUUCUUUUUUGUUUUAGAUUUCCACUGUGCACUCUCGGAGGCCGUUGACCGUCUUCCUCCAUGGGGGACUUAGAAAUUUCCAUAGGAUACCAUAGGAGCGCGGACUAACGAAUAUUUUACGCAAGAUCAAUGUUGUAUCGUUCUUAUUUUCCACUUUCUAUACUAUUCUUUUUGUUUUAGAUUUCCACUGUGCACUCUCGGAGGCUCUUGACCGUCUUCCUCCAUGGGGGACUUAGAAAUUUCCAUAGGAUGCCAUAGGAGCGAGGACUAACGAAGAUUUUACGCAAGUACAAUGUGUUACACUCACAUUUUCGUAUUUCUAUACUGUUUCUUUUGUUUUAGAGUACUUUCUGUGCUUUCCGAGGGUCUUUGCGAUCUAUCUCCACGAGAGGACUUAGAAAUUUUCGGAUCUUCGGGGGACUUUGAAAAUCUAUCUCCACGAGAGGACUUAGAAAUUUUCGCAUCUUUGGGGGACUUUGAAAAUCUAUCUGCACGAGAGGACUUAGAAAUUUUCGGAUCUUCGGGGGACUGAAAAUCUAUCUGCACGAGAGGACUUAGAAAUUUUCGGAUCUUCGGGGGACUUUGAAAAUCUAUCUGCACGAGAGGACUUACAAAUUUUCGCACCUUUGGGGGACUUUGAAAAUCUAUCUGCACGGGAGGACUUAGAAAUUUUCGUACCUUCGAGUGACUUUGAUAAUCUAUCUCCACGAGUGGACUUAGGAAUUUUCGCAGGAUGCCGUAUUCGAGCGAGUAUUAACGAAGACUUAAAAACUUCGUUGCAAUCGCGCGCGUUGCAAUGAUGUAAUCGAGUGUUAGUAUCGCUAAAAUAAAUUUAUCGCGAAGUAGAAGCAGUGUUUGUUCGUUCGCGGUUCGCGAUUUAAACCAUAAGUGUUUUUGCAUAGACUGCGUGCAAUGCAGUCCUUAGAGUCAGUGUUUGUUCGCGUAGUUUUUUGAUUUUUUAACAGUCGCACAGACUGUACUUGUAAAAUAUAGUAGAGUUGCGUUAAGUAAAAUCAGUGACCGUUCGUUAAUAUGUAACUACCGCGAAUUAGAGUCAGUGCAUCACUGAAGAGGAUCUCGACCAACUUCGAUGUCGACCUACCUCAUGUUCAACCAACUACAAAUCGUCCACUCUCAAUUUCGACCUAAAUCUCGGUCCAGUGUUUUGGAGCCAUCGCAGAACUUCUUAAGUAGUAAGUUAAUUUUUAAGUCCCUCCGUUGACUCAGUCAUGUCGAGGACGAAAGGUCCGAAUCGGCACGAGUGAUUGCUUGUAGUUAAUACGUAAAAGAGCAUUGAGUGACUACUAGGAAAUUUCUUUUUAUUUUUCGUUUCAGAAUGGCUUUUGAGUUUCGUUAGAUUGAUUAGUUUUCUUAUUAGUUUUCGAAUAAGGGUAGUUAGUUAUGUUCUAUAGUAGUUGCUUGGGCAUGAAGCAAAGAAGAAGUUGUAUGCUGUAAAGGUCUUUACAUACUGUGGCUCAAGAGGGCAACUAUUAGAUUAUUGAGUUAUUUUCGAUGGUUCGACAAAUUAGUCUAAUUGGAUAUAUUUUAAUUUCUAUGUGGUCACUCAAAAUGCUCUUAUUUAAUAAUAAUUUUGAUUUCAGAUACUCCAACGACAUAACUCUCCAUCUUCCAUUCCACAUUGUCACGUGUACGGGAAAGGAAUUGUUACAUAUUUCAUUCAUUUUUAGUAUUAAAGUCGAAUAGUAAAUUUUUCUUUUCUUUACAUUUUCUUUUUUAAAGUUCAAUCAAAUUUCUAAUAUCUUAUUUUUACAAAAUCAAAUUCUAUAUUCAAAUCAUAGCUACGAAAUGUAUAAGAUACUAUAAUUGUUGGGAUUACUAAAAAUGCGUUGAAUAAAAGUCCAUAUAGGAUUGAAACAAGUUCACAGAGGUUGAAGGCAAGUUCUUUCUUUCUUUCGCGCGUUAUAAGAAGAGAAUAUUCGUUUAAAUUUGGAUCGGGAAUUUUUCAUUUUGAUUUUCUCUUAUAAAUUUAAAUUGAAUUAAAUUCAGGAUUUCAUUUUUCGUAAGUAAUAUAUAUAUAUAUAUAUUCGUAUAUAAAAUAUGAAAUCACUGCUUAUGAUGAGAAGAACUGUAUGUAAUAGUUUCAACUUCAAAUUAUUCUAAAUUAAUUUUUCUAGUUUAAUUACUUAAGUUUCUCUCGGGUGGGACCCUUUGGAGGGGCCUUAGGGUGUGGGCCUUUGAGCGGGUUACUGUUACAGUAUCUUAUAAAGCUUCUUUCCUCUUCUUCUUUCUUUUAUCUUUUCUCUCUUUUCUUUUUCUUCUUCUCGUCUCCUUUAAUUUUUUUUCUGUUUCAGGUUAGAUGAUGAAGGAAGCAAUCAUCGAGGGACCGAUCAUCGUGAAGUUUACUUAUUGAUUUAUUAUAUAUUUCUUUUAAUCAUAUAGGUUUAUAUUAAUCAUAUACAUUUUUAUUAAUUUAAUAUGAUAAAAUAAGUUUUCUGUUUAUAAUAUGUAUGCAUGUCUAUUUAUCGAAACUCAUUUCUAUAUAAUAAUUGAAGGAAUUAUUCGAGAUUGUGUUAGUUUUUCUCGGGUGGGACCCUUGGGAGGGGCCCUUGGGUGUGGGCCUUUGUGCGGGUUACCGUCUUAGGAUCUUGUAAAGAAGCUCUUUCCUCUUUUGAUUUUCUUCUUCUUCUUUUUCUGCACUUUAUCUUGUUUUUUUUUUGUCUUUUAAUCUUUUUCUGUUUCAGGUUAGAUCAUCGAGAGACCGAUCAUCGAGGCAUGGAUCAUCGAGGCAUGGAUCAUCGAGGGAAUGAUCAUCGUGAAAUUUAUCUCUUGACUGAUUAUACAUUUCUAUUUAUUCUACGCAUUUCUAUUUAUUCCACACAUUUCGACUUCUAUUUAUUAUAAGUAUUUCUAUUUAUGUAACAUGCUUAUAUUUAUUAUAAGCAUAUUUAUUAUAAUAUAUGCAUUUUUAUCGAUUA